Neopelma chrysocephalum (saffron-crested tyrant-manakin) is the source of this 483-nucleotide long non-coding RNA. RefSeq lists it as uncharacterized. The record is from RefSeq and is a predicted model, not a curated record. Lineage: Eukaryota; Metazoa; Chordata; Aves; Passeriformes; Pipridae. The transcript is spliced from 3 exons.
UUUUCAGCACAAAUCCAAUUUUCAGCCCCAUACCAGCCUAAAGAAAAUUAAAUUUAUCCCAGCCAAAACUGCUGCCCCCAUGUGUACAAAGAGUUAACAACUCGGUGUACUCACAGGAUAGGAAAUAAGAACAGACUUAAUACUGAAGUGCAGUGUAUCCUCAGGAAACACACACACUUCCUUGGGUGACCAGAACAAAGGGGUCCACCCAGCACCACGACACAGCAGCCCACAAGACAGCUGGAUUGACAGAGGCACAAACAAGUCAAGUGACCUGCCCGGGUCAGGCAGUGCCGGUGGCUUGGAACAGAUUGGAGCCCUCCUGUCUCCAAACCCUGCACUGGACCGUGCUCCCUUUUACAAGUUCUUCUACACUAGAGAUAAAUUGUGUCCACUUUUCCCUUUUGUCUUCUUGUCUCAUAGUAAGCCCCCCUCAUUUUGUUUAUAUGGUUGUUUCACUUCUGAAUACAGGUUUAAGCUACG